RNAcentral lists this long non-coding RNA (235 nucleotides) under Cottoperca gobio. Its description in RNAcentral is "lncRNA (ENSCGOG00000017619.1)". The record is from RNAcentral. Lineage: Eukaryota; Metazoa; Chordata; Actinopteri; Perciformes; Bovichtidae.
CCUUGAUUAGUUGGCAGUUGUCAGUCAGACAUGAAAAAGGGGGAACGUGUGAAUGUGAACAAGCGCCCCUGAUGGAUUCGAACAGGCUUGUUGGAGCGUCAGUCAGUGAAGCUGCUGUUUGAUCACAGACUCAUUAACUUCAGGUUAAAGCGCCGGAAGGCAGCCGCCGCUGUCUUCUGUCCGGCAGAAUAAUUCACCCUCUCAUCUUCUCAAAGAUCUGAAGAGGAGUCUGUAG